This 468-nucleotide ribosomal RNA is filed under the name uncultured bacterium. RNAcentral's name for it is "partial 16S ribosomal RNA". It matches the Rfam family "Bacterial small subunit ribosomal RNA", at positions 28 to 507 of the family's 1533-position model. The record is from RNAcentral.
GACGAACGCUGGCGGCGUGCUUAACACAUGCAAGUCGAACGGAAAGGCCCUGCUUUUGUGGGGUGCUCGAGUUGCGAACGGGUGAGUAACCCGUGAGUAACCUGCCCUUGACUUUGGGAUAACUUCAGGAAACUGGGGCUAAUACCGGAUAGGAGCUCCUGCUGCAUGGUGGGGGUUGGAAAGUUUCGGCGGUUGGGGGUGGACUCGCGGCUUAUCAGCUUGUUGGUGGGGUAGUGGCUUACCAAGGCUUUGACCGGUAGCCGGCCUGAGAGGGUGACCGGCCACAUUGGGACUGGGAUACGGCCCAGACUACUACGGGAGGCAGCAGUGGAGAAUAUUGCACAAUGGGCGGAAGCCUGAUGCAGCAACGCCGCGUGCGGGAUGACGGCCUUCGGGUUGUAAACCGCUUUCGCCUGUGACGAAGCGUGAGUGACGGUAAUGGGUAAAGAAGCACCGGCUAACUCCGUG